GACACAAGUCCUUCUCCGCUCCGAGCAUAAGAAGUAUCGACGCAUGCUAAGAUAAAACCAAACACCACACUUCUCUGACGAUCUCCCCGAUGCUUCACCUCUCCCUCAUUUUAACUUAAAUAAUAUUUCUCUCUCCCUCCUCAGUUUUUGCCUUCACUUUCCCUCUUUUAGAUCAUAGUAGCUUCUCUCUAGUUGCUGCCUCCUCCGCUGAGAUCUCAAUUUCUCUGUCAAUUUCUGCUAGUAAUUAUCGGAUUAGGAGAAUGGC
RNAcentral lists this unclassified non-coding RNA (265 nucleotides) under Hevea brasiliensis (rubber tree). Lineage: Eukaryota; Viridiplantae; Streptophyta; Magnoliopsida; Malpighiales; Euphorbiaceae. The record is from RNAcentral.